AUGAACGCUGACAGAAUGCUUAACACAUGCAAGUCGAUGGGGAAGUGGUGCUUGCACCAUGGUAACCAUGGCGGACGGGUGAGUAACGCGUAAGGAACUUGCCUGCGGGACUGGGAUAACAGCAGGAAACUGCUGAUAAUACCGGAUAAGGUCAUUAAGCUGCAUAGCUUAGUGAUGAAAGGAGACGCCUGCGGAGAGCCUUGCGUCCUAUUAGCUAGUUGGAGGGGUAACGGCCCACCAAGGCGAAGAUAGGUAGCCGGCCUGAGAGGGUGGACGGCCACAAGGGGACUGAGAUACGGCCCUUACUCCUACGGGAGGCAGCAGUGGGGAAUAUUGGACAAUGGGGGCAACCCUGAUCCAGCAAUUCUGUGUGCACGAAGACGGUUUUCGGAUUGCAAAGUGCUUUCAGCAGGGAAGAAGGAAGUGACGGUACCUGCAGAAGAAGCGACGGCUAAAUACGUG
Molecule: ribosomal RNA, 462 nt
Filed under: uncultured bacterium
Lineage: Bacteria
Description: partial 16S ribosomal RNA
Rfam family: Bacterial small subunit ribosomal RNA
Source: RNAcentral